CUACGGGGCGCAGCAGUUAGGGAUAUUCGGCAAUGGGGGAAACCCUGACCGAGCAAUGCCGCGUGAAUGAAGAAGUAUUUCGAUAUGUAAAGUUCUGUUGUUAAGGAAGAAAGGUACGAAUAGGAAAUGAUUCGUAAUUGACGGUACUUAACCAGAAAGCCCCUGCUAACUACGUGCCAGCAGCAGCGGUAAUACGUAGGGGGCGAGCGUUAUCCGGAAUUAUUGGGCGUAAAGGGUGCGUAGGCGGCCUGUCAAGUCCGAGUUGAAAGCCCACGGCUUAACCGUGGAGGGUGCUCGGAAACUGAUAGGCUUGAAUCCAGAAGAGGCAAGUGGAAUUCUAUGUGGAGCGGUGGAAUGCGUAGAUAUAUGGAGGAACACCAGUGGCGAAGGCGGCUUGCUGGGCUGGUAUUGACGCUGAUGCACGAAAGCGUGGGGAGCAAACAGGAUUAGAUACCCCCGUAGUC
Molecule: ribosomal RNA, 464 nt
Filed under: uncultured bacterium
Lineage: Bacteria
Description: partial 16S ribosomal RNA
Rfam family: Bacterial small subunit ribosomal RNA
Source: RNAcentral